GGUCCAAUAGUGUAGAGGUUAACAUGCACGAUGGCUUGAUGAUAGACCUCCGUGAGAUCCAGGUUCAGUCCUGGUUGGACCG
Molecule: transfer RNA, 82 nt
Filed under: Rhodocollybia butyracea
Lineage: Eukaryota; Fungi; Basidiomycota; Agaricomycetes; Agaricales; Omphalotaceae
Description: tRNA-Pro
Source: RNAcentral